This 338-nucleotide long non-coding RNA is filed under the name Oryza brachyantha (malo sina). RNAcentral describes it as "long non-coding RNA (OBRA_LNC002321)". The record is from RNAcentral. Lineage: Eukaryota; Viridiplantae; Streptophyta; Magnoliopsida; Poales; Poaceae.
AAGUAUGGCAUCCAUUACCAUCUUAGCCAGCGUGUGGCCAUGUUUCUUAAAAAAAAAAAUUCCUGGUGUCCACUGCUACCCAUGAAGUUUAGACAUGUAUUCCUAAAAAAACAAUUUGGUGUCACUACCACCUUAACCAAUAACCAGUAGUGCUAUAAGACUAUCUAAUAUUGUGUCCCGCACUCCCACUACCACCUCUCCAUGAUAGUUAGAUCAUAUCAGGGGUGUUGCUCCAGGAACUUCCUGUACGUCUUUUAUUCUUCACAACACCAACUGGGAGCUCAAGAAACCAAGGAACAUCAAGAAAACAGCAGUUUCUUUGAGACUUUCAAAUAGCN